UAAGUGUAGGAGGAGUUGAUAGA
This 23-nucleotide non-coding RNA is filed under the name Cricetulus griseus (Chinese hamster). Lineage: Eukaryota; Metazoa; Chordata; Mammalia; Rodentia; Cricetidae. The record is from RNAcentral.